Molecule: ribosomal RNA, 120 nt
Filed under: uncultured bacterium
Lineage: Bacteria
Description: partial 16S ribosomal RNA
Rfam family: Bacterial small subunit ribosomal RNA
Source: RNAcentral
GACGAACGCUGGCGGCGUGCUUAACACAUGCAAGUGGAGCGACGAACCGGGCUUCGGCCCGGGGCAAAGCCGCGAACGGGUGAGUAACACGUGGGUAACCUGCCCCGUUGACCGGGACAA